Non-coding RNA from Elaeis guineensis (African oil palm), 1935 nucleotides. NCBI's taxonomy places the organism in Eukaryota, Viridiplantae, Streptophyta, Magnoliopsida, Arecales, Arecaceae. The record is from RefSeq and is a predicted model, not a curated record.
UUUGCAGUAUUCGUAUAAAAUGCGGGGGAAAACACGAGGUCCCUUGAAACCCCGAAACCCUUGGCGGCCUUCUCCACCCGAGUCGGCGACGAUGGGCCAGGGACGGCGGCCGGCGAAGCGGCGCCGCCUCUCCAGGCUCCCUCCCCUCCUCCUCGCCUUCUCCCCCUUCGCCCGCUCCAUCCUUUUCGCCCGCUCCACCGCCCCCAAUUCCACCAAUCCCGAUCCCUCCCCUUCCUCCAGAACGACAGAGGUUGGAAUUGCCGAUCCUAAGCCACCCAAAGCAAUCAAACGAAUCGAGUCCUCCGAAGACGAGGAGGAAGAAGAAGUCGAGAUGGUGCAAGCUGAUUUCGAGUUCUUUGACCCCAAGCCCGGGGAUUUCCAUGGUGUGAAGCUUCUUCUCCAGAACUACCUUGAUAACAAGCCGUGGGAUCUCAGUGGCUUCGUGGACCUGAUCUUGGAGCAGACCACCGUCGGGACCGUCGUGAAAUCGGGCGACCAGGAUGAAGAGGAGGAAGGAGACGAUGAUGGAGGGAAUGAUGAUGAGGGUCUUUAUGCCGUGAUCAGUGCCCUAAACCUGGGGAGAUAUGCUGGACAUAGAUGCAUCAAGGAGCUCAAGCGGUUCCUUCUUGAAGUUUGCAGUGAUGACAGUACAAAGAAAAAGCUGAAAUUGCUGUUGGAACAGCAAGCAAGUGAUGUUGGUCUGUUGGUCUCGCAGCGGUUUGUGAACUGCCCCUACCAACUGGUGCCUCCACUUUAUGACGCGCUCUUUGAUGAGGUUUCAUGGGCAACAGAGGAUGAGCCCACACAGGAACUUCGAGAUUCGUUCCGCUUCAAAUACUAUAUCUUGGUUGCCAGAAUCUUUGAGCUGGCUGACAAUGACCCAAAGAAACAUGCUGCCUGUUAGCAAAAAUGUCAACCAAUACAAGGCAAAACAGAGCCAGGAUUGCGACGAACCUGUCAUUUAUAUAAAGGCAGAAGAUCAGAUUUUUCGUGAGCUCAGCUCGUUAUCUUUUACUUUUCAUCUGCAUGCUGAGCAGUUGGUUCCACCUGAGGUUGAGGCUGUACAGCAUCUAUGUCACCAUAAUUUGUUGAGAAGCAAAUAAUCAUUCUAACUGCAGUCAUGAAGAUUUUUUUUUCGAAAGAAACAAGGGCAAGCAAAAUGUUGUAGAGCAGUGAAUUCAGAUAAACACACAUCUAAGGGAGGGACUGAAGAAGUUUGGGGAGUUACAAACAAGGCCAUUUGAACACUAUCAGAUUCUGCACCAACAAGAUUUGUUUAUCAAAGUUGAAGAAUUACAAGGAGAUGGGACUAGUCAUGGUUGUAAAGGCUGAUGAUGUUCCCAAGUUCCGCGAGAAGUUAAAAUCAUUAGUAGUUGAAUCAUAACGCUAAAGGUGGUCUGGUUAGAUGGUAGGGCUAAACCUUGCUGGUCUGUUAUAACUGCAAGUGGUGAGAUUGUAUCGUGCACCCAAAAUGCAAAAUGCAGAGGUUCUCUUUUUGUACUUUAUUUUUAUUUAUUUAUUUUUUCUGGUUCCCUUCUGAUUUCAGGGGUUUCAGGGCUGUGCAUUGCUUUGUUUUGUGGGUUAAGGGGAUUGACAAAUUCAUUUCAGUUCAUUUGCUAUUAUACAGAUGUGAACCAUCAUUUUGGGUUUGAGGCUUUGCAGGAAAAUGUCAUGUUUUGCUUGCAAAUGUCGAAAAGAGAAAAGUUUUGAGGUCAUCAAACUUUUUUGUUCCGGCAGUAAUCUCCUUUUAUGAGUUAUUCCUCAGGAAUCUUUCAUAAUUUUGUACCUAAGUUAUAUUGUGAACAAAUUGAGGCAACUAUUUAAUUUGUUACUACGUGAGCCCGGACUUGUUUGUACAAACUAUCUCCAUCAUCAGCCAUUGUUGUACCUUGCAUGAGAAAAUUAAAGAUUUACCACCAGAAACAUCUGAUGUUA